CGGGUGCGUAACACGUGAGCAACCUACCGAUUUGUGGGGGAUAGCCGGCCCAACGGCCGGGUAAUACCGCAUACGCUCUUUGGGCUUCAUGGCCUAUUGAGGAAACCUCCGGGGCAAAUCGAGGGGCUCGCGUCCUAUCAGCUAGUUGGCGAGGUCACGGCUCACCAAGGCGACGACGGGUAGCUGGUCUGAGAGGAUGGCCAGCCACAUUGGGACUGAGAAACGGCCCAG
RNAcentral lists this ribosomal RNA (231 nucleotides) under uncultured bacterium. Its description in RNAcentral is "partial 16S ribosomal RNA". It matches the Rfam family "Bacterial small subunit ribosomal RNA", at positions 103 to 334 of the family's 1533-position model. The record is from RNAcentral.